GAUGAAGAACGUAGCGAAAUGCGAUAAGUAAUGUGAAUUGCAGAUUUUCAGUGAAUCAUCGAAUCUUUGAACGCACCUUGCGCUCCCUGGUAUUCCGGGGAGCAUGCCUGUUUGAGUGUCAUUAAAUUCUCAACCCCGAUCGGAUUUGUUUUCGCAUUCGGAGGCUUGGAUAGUGGAGCGUGCUGGCCCCCUCUCAUGGGUCGGCUCCUCUCAAAUACAUUCGCGGAAUCGACUUUGGUCCAUUUCGGUCAUCAGUGUGAUAAACGUUGCGCUGUUGGCUAGGAUCGAGGUGCCGCAUACAAUGGUCUUCGGACAAUUUUAUAAACCAUUUGACCUCAAAUCAGGUAGGACUACCCGCUGAACUUAAGCAUAUCAAUAAGCGGAGGA
Molecule: unclassified non-coding RNA, 387 nt
Filed under: soil metagenome
Description: partial contains 5.8S ribosomal RNA, internal transcribed spacer 2, and large subunit ribosomal RNA
Rfam family: 5.8S ribosomal RNA (bases 1-121)
Source: RNAcentral